Molecule: ribosomal RNA, 253 nt
Filed under: uncultured bacterium
Lineage: Bacteria
Description: partial 16S ribosomal RNA
Rfam family: Bacterial small subunit ribosomal RNA
Source: RNAcentral
GACGUAGGGCGCGAGCGUUGUCCGGAUUUAUUGGGCGUAAAGAGCGUGUAGGCGGCCAGGUAGGUCCGGUGUGAAAACUCGAGGCUUAACCUCGAGAUGUCAUCGGAAACCAUCUGGCUAGAGUGCGGAAGAGGCGAGUGGAAUUCCUGGUGUAGCGGUGAAAUGCGCAGAUAUCAGGGGGAACACCGAUUGCGAAGGCAGCUCGCUGGGACGUCACUGACGCUGAGACGCGAAAGCGUGGGGAGCAAACAGG